Molecule: ribosomal RNA, 253 nt
Filed under: uncultured bacterium
Lineage: Bacteria
Description: partial 16S ribosomal RNA
Rfam family: Bacterial small subunit ribosomal RNA
Source: RNAcentral
UACGUAGGGUGCGAGCGUUAAUCGGAAUUACUGGGCGUAAAGCGUGCGCAGGCGGCGCGUUAAGACAGGUGUGAAAGCCCCGAGCUUAACUUGGGAAUUGCGCUUGUGACUGGCGAGCUGGAGUGUGGCAGAGGGAGGUGGAAUUCCACGUGUAGCAGUGAAAUGCGUAGAGAUGUGGAGGAACACCGAUGGCGAAGGCAGCCUCCUGGGCCAGCACUGACGCUCAUGCACGAAGGCCAGGGGAGCAAACGGG